AUUGAACGCUGGCGGCAGGCCUAACACAUGCAAGUCGAGCGAAAGAGUGUGCUUGCACACUCGAAAGCGGCGGACGGGUGAGGAACGCGUGGGAAUCUGCCUGUAGCUGGGGGAUAGCCCGGAGAAAUCCGGAUUAAUACCGCAUAAUACCUGAGGGUUAAAGUGGAGGAUCGCAAGACUUCACGUCUACAGAUGAGCCAACGUCAGAUUAGCUAGUUGGUAGGGUAAAGGCCUACCAAGGCGACGAUCUGUAGCUGGCCUGAGAGGGUGGCCAGCCACACUGGAACUGAGACACGGUCCAGACUCCUACGGGAGGCAGCAGUGGGGAAUAUUGGACAAUGGGCGCAAGCCUGAUCCAGCCAUGCCGCGUGUGUGAAGAAGGCCUUCGGGUUGUAAAGCACCUUAAGUUGGGAGGAAGUUUCGAUGGCUAAUAUCCAUCGGAAUUGACGUUACCAACAGAAUAAGCACCGGCUAAUUCCGUGCCAGCAGCCGCGGUAA
Molecule: ribosomal RNA, 498 nt
Filed under: uncultured bacterium
Lineage: Bacteria
Description: partial 16S ribosomal RNA
Rfam family: Bacterial small subunit ribosomal RNA
Source: RNAcentral